This is a long non-coding RNA of Fukomys damarensis (Damara mole-rat), 2757 nucleotides long. Lineage: Eukaryota; Metazoa; Chordata; Mammalia; Rodentia; Bathyergidae. The record is from Ensembl.
GUUUGUGAAAGUGUAAAUGAUACAUGAAAGUAGAGUUUGCCAAAGUCUCGUCUCAGAAUUUUUAUAAUCAUCUUUCUCCUAAGGCAGCUGUGCACACAAGUGACCAUUUGCCUGAAGGAGCUAGAAUUUCUAUCAGUGUUUUUGAAACCUACCUGAGAAGUAAAAUAUGACAUUUCACUUUUUCUUUCUUAACACGACUGACUUCUCUGAUAUGUGCUUAUUGUCCACGUGUAAUUCUUUUUUUCUUUCCUGAUUUGUUUUUUCCUACCCGUGUUUUAUUCUUAGAAUCAUCAGUUUGGAUGUUCCAUGGAUUCUAAGUAAUCUAGUUGGGAAAUAAGAUCAAGAUACUCAAACUGAAGAGGGAAUGUGCUUUGUAGACAGGGGACUUUGUGUAGAACUCAAAAAGUCAACCAGAGACCUGCAGACGUGCUGCCUUUCGUCAUACACAGUCCCUUUGCAGAACAGAGCAUCUUCCCUGUCUAACUUGUUGAGACCAGAAUCCAUCACAGUGUUUCUUGAUGUCAUGGCUGAAUUUUUGAUUGAAACACUUCUCAGCAUUGGAUUAAAACAAAACAGUGAAGAGACCUUGAGCAGGUAAGACUGAACUGCUCUACAUUUUUCAAAUGUGUGUGAGUGAGAAUGUUUCUACUCUGGAGUCUAGAUUUCCAGUGGUUACACUCCCAGCUUAAUCCCACUUCACAGGGUACCAAAUGUAUGUGAUGAGUUGGGGGCCAUCAUUUCCAGUCUAUUAAUCUGAUGAAGGAUUUGGAUAAUCCUUCUUUGUAAAUUCUACAGACCUAAUAAAGAUUGACCAUAUUCUUUCUGAAGAAAAAUAUCCAAUUAUUAGCUCACAAAGAUAAACAUGAUGUAUUUGGGGUAGCUCCUAUUCUAGGACAAGGUAGAUUAAAAAUAUUUUACAGGUUGUGUAUUGUACAAAAUGCUUCUAAACAAAGUCAUAUGAAGACUUUAUUUUCCAGGAGCCAUCAAAAUGCCAUUCUUAUGAGAAAAAAAAUUCUCAAAUGAAAUUUUUAAAAAAUUGUAUAAUGAAUCCCCUGCUGAUAUUCAUAUAGCACUUAUUUGACCUUGCAAUGGAUAAGUCCCUUUCUAAAUUCCUAUAUAGAAAUCAAGGGUCACCAAAAGGACAAUAAGGAGACAGGUUUCCAAAUCCACUCAGUUUCCAGAGGUCUCUGCUCUACUAGGUGACAAGAUUGAGGGUUUUAGCCUUGUCCAGAACUUUCUCUUCUAUUUAGAAGAAACUUCAGCCGAACCACUCAGUGCUUCCCAGGCAUGUGGAAAUCCAAUUCUAGGUUUGCGUUUGAGUAAGGAAGAUGAAGUAGCAACUGUGACCUUUUCUAGUAUGCAUGAGUAAUAGAUGGAACUAUGGAGUGUGAGGGAGGCAGAAGUAUCUCAGUUUGCAAUAUCCAAAAAGCGGAGCCUAAAAAUAAAAUAUAAAUGCAGGGAGUUUAGUUAGGAGUUAAAGAAAAUACCUGACAGUGAGUAGAGAAUUAAGGCAAGCAAAUGAAGAGAAGGCAAUGAAGUGUGAGGCCAAGUCAGUGACCCUGAUGGGUGUCAUCAGUUGAUUAAUUUCCCCGAAGCUGGUGUGGCAGCAGGUGCAGGACAAACACUUCCAGGAUGCCAACCUGGGAGUUGAGGCGGUGUGUGUUCAAACACCAACUUCCUUCCGCUGUUGUUUAAAGGAUCCCUGGAAAGAAUCUUAAUUCCCCAGGUCUUCCAGCCAGCCACACAGUGGUAAAAGAAAACUCUGGCAGCUGAACAGAGCCGCUUGGGUCCUGAAGUGUGUGUGGGUCUUGCAUUUAGACUCCAGCUUGCACUGAGGGCACUGGAAGAGCAUCCACCAUGUCAGCUUAGAAGAUCAAGGCUCACCUUGCCCCCUAAGAGAAAACUUAACUUGCAGUUUGACCUUAAGGUUAUUUCCCCUCCCGGACCUCACUUUGCUCAUUCUGAAUGAGAGCUGGAUGAAGAGGUACUGGAACAAAGCCAUGCAAGUCUCCAAGUUCAUGCACACAUUUAUUUCCUGAAGCUCCUGUGUAGUUUUGCAUCCUGCACGCAGCAAUUUCUUCAGUAACUCACAUCAUCAACUGAUGGAUAACUUGGAAGAUUCUUUUUCAAAUUCUUGAUGGGGCGCAGGAGACUCGUCGAUAUCUCUCCUUGGAUUAAAACUUCUGGUGCCUCCUGCAGCCUCGUGAAAUUGCUAUUGAAAGCAGCAAGAUGAACAUCAAACUAUUUUGCCACAGAGCUUGAUGUUUUUAGAUACAGUAGCCAGAUUAGCCAUGUUUCCAUUUGUAAAGGAAGAACUUUGGGGGUAUGAUGCACUUUGAGAAGAUAAACUCAAAAUGGAAAUAUAUUUUCUCAAAGCUUGGCUAUCUUGCACUUUGUUAUUAUAAUGUUACUAUUUGCUGGAAUGGUUAAUCUGUCUUACAACUCAUCUGCAAACAGUGGAGACAAACAAAGUUGAAACAUCCGAAUAAGUGCAACGGGGAGUUGAUAAAUCUACUUUACACUAGAGAAAGCCGGACAACGGAGUCUUUGACAACAAGGGAUGUUCACCCAUCCAUUGUCACUGAGUCUUGUGAGUGCUCCAGCCACCAUGUGCACCCAUCGAGCAGGAUCUUGACUGUAUUUAUAAGCUGGCUUUUAUCAGACUAAGUUAAAUCUUCCCGAAUGGCUUCUUCUUCAGGUAACCCCUUACAUGUUUACUGAAGGAAAAAUGAAAAAACAAUAAAACAAUGUGACAGA